AAAGAAUGAUUUACAAAAUCUGGUACGUGUUAAACUAUCUCAAUAAGUUUUCAGUCUGAAGUCUGCAAGUUAAUUUAUUUUUGUAGAAACCAUACUAUGCACAUUAUCUUUUUGUAUGGUCUUUUCACAAUUAUCUUUUCACAUAUGAUGUUAAAAGUUUGGAGUCACAAUUUAUUUGUAAUUUUUUGCUUGAAAUUGACAAUAUAAGAAAGCAUCUAUUCUAUUGUUUACCAUAAUAAGCCUGAAAUUUUCACUCAUUGUA
Molecule: unclassified non-coding RNA, 262 nt
Filed under: Hevea brasiliensis (rubber tree)
Lineage: Eukaryota; Viridiplantae; Streptophyta; Magnoliopsida; Malpighiales; Euphorbiaceae
Source: RNAcentral